CCCGCACUCUCUGCUCUCUUCCCCGAUCCCCUCCCACGAACCCUAGCAUCCUGGUGCCGCCACCCCUUCCUUCCCCCGUCCGUCCCCACCCCUCCCCCGCGCCGCGAGCCCCUCCCUCCUCUUCAUCGCCACCGCUGUCUCUCCUCUUCCUCCCCGCUCUAGCCCCUCCAUCGUCGCUCGCGGUGGUUCCAGAUCCUGCGCUGGUCGUCCCCAUGGGUGAGGAGGUGCAGGCCAGACCGGCAGCGUGGGGAGGAGCAGUGAGCCAGGAGCCAGGGAGAGGCCAACAUCGGGGACAAGAAGCAGCGAGGCCAGCGGUCCGUCGGGGUGGUUUGGAGGGAGAGGGAGAGGGAGGAGGUCGGCCACGAGAGAAGGAGCAGGCCGGCCCUGCUUCGUCAUGGAGGAUGUCCAGCUGCUCGUCCUCCUCCGCCUCUUCUCCAAGCGUCCAUCCUAUCGCAACUCAGCUUCAGAAUUGGGUGCGUAUGAACAAUGCAAUGGAGGUUAUGUUAAUUCCUAGAGUCUUCUAUGUUCUUUUGUCUCCUGGUGAUUACUUCGAGUGGCUAUGUGAGGAACACAGGUUGCAAUUCCAGUUUCAUCGACGGACUCGCUCGCUGCUCUAGAAGGUGCUUGGGCUUGUUUCUCUGACCGAUUUAUUGGAAUAUCUCACAUGGAUCUUCACUGCCUCAUAUACCUAUUUUUUAUUCUCUCGUCAAUUCCACACGGCCGCUCGUCCAUUGCACGGUACUAGAUGGUCCCUGUUAAGUUAAUUCGAGAACGUUGACCUGGAGUCCUCCUUUUACAUAUUUGGUCUUCUUGGAAUCAAGCAAAAAUUACUAAGAAGCACAUAACUGAUUAUUUCUUCUGCUUAGCCUCAUUUCUGUUAUGCACACAGUUUUCGACUCUAUGCAAUUCUUGGUGCAAGGGCCCCCGCUUCCUUGUUGUGACGUUGCAGCCUUACUGGCCCUUCUGCAGGUAUGCUAGCUCCUUCUCUCCUCUUCUUUCAUACUGAUGCAAAAGGAGAGGUGCAAAUCUGAAGAUUAUCCAAUGAGGUCAUUAGCUCUGAUUCUUUGGAAAAAAGGUUGAGAGCUAUACACAACAACGCUAAAGAUGGAGCAGCCUGCCAUGUAUUAGGGCAUACGCAUUUCUGUUGGGAUUAUGCGGUUGACAAUAUCAGGUAUGUACAAGCGCCUCUGGCAUACCCUCGAGAAAGAAAGCGAAGGAUAAAUGGAGGCCAAGGAUGGUUGCCGUUUUUUGUAUAUUGUGAUGGCUUCAACCCUGAAACAAGAAUAGAAGGGAGCCUGAGAACACUCAGCUUGUGCCAUGCUCUAAGAGAUAGACGGAGUUCUCAACUGGCUGGGAAGAUUUGACAAGAUAUGUGGAGAUGGGGCACGGGGAGGGGAGGGCGAGUCGGCCUGGAGGCCCCGGUUGUGGCUUCGACUAGGCAGGCCUGGGACUCGCGGUGGCGGGCGGCCUCGCGCUGGAGCUGGUCCUGGCGGGCGGCCUCGGCCUCGUCCACACGGACUUCUCCUGGUUGUCGAACCGGUCGAGGGUCAUCCAACUUCUUGUUUAUUAGGCUACUGUUUGAUAAAAUGUAAGAUAUUUCUGUUUGGAAAGGUUUCCUGACGUCCGGACCGGUCAUACUUUUGCAAGAUACAUGCGAGGAUUGUUGUGUCCAACCUGCACAAGAAUGCCAAGAAAUCCUCAGAGACGUAAGCCACGACGCAUGUUUCUGCCAUGAUUUCCUUCUGUUGGAUUUUGUGGAUUUAGGUGUUCAAAAAUUAUGGGCUGUGGAUGCAGGAUUAAGGACAUGUACCUGCACUACAACGAGAGAUCUGGGCUGCUUCUUUGUGGCUUCCAAACUUGAAAUGUUUGUUUGGAAGUUAGUUUAGUUUUCUGUUAUGGAUUCACAGCUUCUCACAUGUACCAUCCUCUUAGACCUUUAGAUUUCCAAAGAAACUAAAUGAAGAUAUCAUGGUAUGGUCUCAAUAGUACAA
Molecule: long non-coding RNA, 1991 nt
Organism: Triticum aestivum (bread wheat)
Lineage: Eukaryota; Viridiplantae; Streptophyta; Magnoliopsida; Poales; Poaceae
Exons: 11
Source: RefSeq, a predicted model, not a curated record